UAAGUCUGAACAACAUGUCUCAGUCUUUUGAAAGUAAGCUAUGAAAGACAUCAACAGUUAAAGUUCAUGCAAACUUUAGAAUACAAAAACAGAAAAGGGUUUUGAAAGAAAAAUGCAGUCAUUUGACUGCAGCCAUGCUGGAGUACCACCUUUAAUUGAACAAAUUGACCCCAGGAUUUAUUCUUUGUACAAGCGUAGCUGUAUGGUAUAAGUUUGCUGCCCAGCCACAAGAUUCCAGGUUCAGUCUCACUGCAUAGCAACUUGGGCAAGUGUCUUCUACUAUAGCUUCAGGCUGACCAAAGCCUUGUGAGUGAAUUUGAGAGACAGAACUUGAAAGAAGCCAGUCAUAACUCAGAUGCACAACUCAUCAGAAAAAGCAAGAAGAGCUGCAUGAACAGUACACAGAAUAUGCACAGGAAGUGAACAGUGAAUAAGCCUUUACAGAAAAAGCUAAAAGUGAAACGUUGGAAGUGUGUAGCUUUUUGAAAGUGGUGAGGUGAUGGGUAAAAUUCUUGAAGCUUUGUACUUUCUGUUUUUUCUCCAUGGAUUACCAAGAAAAAAAAUUUGAAAAAAAGUAAAAAAUUAAUUUGGUGUGGAGAGGGAGAAAAUUAAAAUAUUGAGAACGUGUUCUGUGGGUGAAAUCCUAAUCUCCGGUAUCGCAAACAUAAGAAUCAGAAAAAAAAAUAAGGUGGGAGACGGAAAAGUCACCUCAGAUAUGCUAGAAAGAAGAGGUAAAGGAUGGGAUUUCUGGGAAAACUUCCUUUUAAGUUUAUAUCAAAGAUCAGGUUUUUAAAUAUGCUCAUCACAAACACAAAUUACACAACAGAAAAAGAUCAUUUCAAUUGGAUUUGAGCUGCAAAUUUGCACAUGCACACUGCAAUAAUUAGCAUAAUUCACACAGAAGUUUUACCUAGAGUGUGUGUAUGCAUGUGUGUUUGUCAAAGGAAGUUAUUGUAUGGCAGUUUUUCAUUUGAAGAAGCAAAGUUGUCAACUCAACAUAUAUGGAAUCAUAUGGUUGUUUGUUAAUUUCUGUAAAAUUGUUUUAUUUUCUGUAUGUUUGAAGAGAGCAGAAAUUGAAAGAGAGGAUAAAGUGAAAAGGCAACAUUUGCUUUGAAGUGAGAGGAGAAAGUAAGACAGAGGAGAAAGUAAAACAGAGGAGAAAGGAAAACAGAGGAGAAAGGAAAACAGAGGAGAAAGGAAAACAGAGGAGAAAGUGUAAGAUGUGCAUGUGUAUGAAAUGAACAUGUGUGUGUGUGUGAGAGAGAGAUAGAGAGAGAGUGAGUGAAGGUGUGUGUUGUGAUGUAUGAAAUUUUUUGCAUGUAUGUGCAAGUGGCACUCACUCACUCUCUCUCACACACAUUAUCUUUGAUAUGCACGUACAUAAAUUGGCAGAGGUAAAGAAUACACACACCACCUGUUUUUGGCGUAACCCUAACCCUAAACAUUGAGAGUGCGUAUUCUUGACCUUCGCCCAUAAAUACAUAUACAUACAUCUUUUUUGUGUGUGAGAGUGAG
Long non-coding RNA from Octopus bimaculoides (California two-spot octopus), 1515 nucleotides. RefSeq lists it as uncharacterized. The record is from RefSeq and is a predicted model, not a curated record. Lineage: Eukaryota; Metazoa; Mollusca; Cephalopoda; Octopoda; Octopodidae.